This 335-nucleotide unclassified non-coding RNA is filed under the name Enterococcus durans. Its description in RNAcentral is "partial 16S-23S ribosomal RNA intergenic spacer". The record is from RNAcentral. Lineage: Bacteria; Bacillati; Bacillota; Bacilli; Lactobacillales; Enterococcaceae.
GGACAGUAAGAUACGAUCUGGCUCAAUAAGUCGUAACAAGGUAGCCGUAGAGUUUUUUCAUGGCCCCCCUACUCCUAACAACGGGGCCGGUACCCCCACCUUGUUACUUCCUGAGCCACCAUCAUCAUCCACCACCAUUUUUUUUUUUCUUCUUAAUGAACCAUCAUCAAAUACCUCGGCUUUUUUUUUAUUACCUCCUUCCGCACCGAAAUACACCACCGCUUUUUUUUUUUUACUUAGUUACCGGCCAAUAAACCAAAACUAUAUUCUCUUAAUAGUUAGGGCCCACCCAGAAUACCUCCGAGACGCAACCACAAACAUCACUAGUAUCCAGU